This 1541-nucleotide unclassified non-coding RNA is filed under the name Leptinotarsa decemlineata (Colorado potato beetle). Its description in RNAcentral is "uncharacterized LOC111505550, transcript variant X1". The record is from RNAcentral. Lineage: Eukaryota; Metazoa; Arthropoda; Insecta; Coleoptera; Chrysomelidae.
UCUUCGCGGAACAGCUUUAUGAAAAUAGUGGCCCGAAUGUUGCGUGGAACUGUCAAGUGAGCACGUGGGUGGACCAGUGUUUCUAUCUCGGUUCUUCCCCUUCCAUUAGCACUACUAGCACCAUCUGAGUCUCCCGCCAAGGCAGAUUCUUCACACCUAUAGCAGGAAUGUAAAUAUCAACAAGACCUUGUUGAGUGAUGAAUAAUAGCGAUUUUUAAUGGGGUGACUUAUCAUCAUUAUGAAGUGGUAUUACAGAGCACUCACCUGAGGGAUAUUUUGGUGCAUCUUCGGCCGGCUCUAAUUUGAGAGUUGAUCCCGAUACCACAGUUCCCAAACCAGGGUGUUCGACGGGAGGUUCUUGCAGGAAUUCGGCGCCCCAAAGACAGCCCAGCACAACCAGACCUACAUUUGUACGUUCCUCCAUAAAACCAAAUGCUUCUAAAGUGAGGGUGAUUGUCGAAGAAACCUCUUACAUCUACAUACCACGACGCCCCCGCAGUAGACAAAACACUGUUGAUGAAGGAUACCACAGUUUGAACACUUCAAGGGAGUUCGACCCAAAUAUUCGUGAACCAAGAAAUGUCAACCAUGAAAUUGAGAGUCUCAUUUCCACUGUCAUGACAAAUCUACGUGUUGGAAUCGAAACUAAAAGCGGAGAAAUGUUGAGAGAUUUCAAUGAAAAAAUGAAGCAGAAGCUCUCAGAUUUAAAAACCAAGCAUACUAAAAUCGAAGAAGACAUCAAGAGAUUGGCCGAUUCAACAUCUAUCAAUCUUGUGAAUCAAAUCUCCGACUUUGUACAGAGAACCGAGUGAAUUUUGUGUUUCUUCAUAAACACAAAAUUCGAAAGUAUUUUAGAGUAAAAUUAGUGAUUUAGAACUUCAAAAGUCAACGUUCCAAAUUUACUCCAUUUUCUAUUGAUAUUUUCAAAUACAUACAAUUCGAAUGAUUUUUCAAUUCACGAGUGAUUUUUACCUGGGCGAUUUUAUUUUCUUAAUUUUGUGUUUCUUCAUAAAGACAAAAUUCAAAAAUUGAUUUUUUUAGAACUUCUGAAUUAUUGAGUAUUUUCUCGUGAAAUUCUUGGUACCACCUCAUUGCAUGAAGCAUUAAAGUUCAAAAACAACAAUAUAUUUUUGUGUCAUUUUUCAAAUGACACAAUUCAAACAAAUUUCCAGAUCAGAUCAAGAAACAUGUCUGAAAUAAUAAAUAUAUUUUACAGUUGGAUUAAGAAUAGAAUAGAAUAUAUUUAUUUGACUACAUUACAAUACAUGUAUAAGUAAUCGAAUAGAAAACCGUGAAAACGAAAUAACAAGCUAGAGGCAAUUUGUCAAUUUCACUACGAGUGAUAGAAGUACAAACUUAAUGGAAAAUGAAAAAAAUGUUUCAGAUGAAUUUUCAUCUGAAGAAUUUCUGUACAUAGUCUACACGGGGAAAAUGUUCUAAAUAAACUGUUUAUUUAACUUAAAUCUAAUAAUAGUCAACACAUUGUUAUUAAAUAGCAAUUAAAUGGUUAACUUGUGUAAUAUUAAAAGGUUUGAAAUGAA